This 1108-nucleotide long non-coding RNA is filed under the name Carassius auratus (goldfish). RNAcentral describes it as "lncRNA (ENSCARG00000009170.1)". The record is from RNAcentral. Lineage: Eukaryota; Metazoa; Chordata; Actinopteri; Cypriniformes; Cyprinidae.
UGAGAGCACUGCUUACUCUUGAUGCUAAACAUAUGCUCUAAUGUUUAUAGAGUGGGCAUGACAGCUUGCAACAUUCAUCUUUACCAUUUAUUACCUCCUCUUAUUUUUAAUAAUCUAAUGUUCAAUAAUGGUUAAAAAUUACAGACUGUGUCUGAAAAAUUAAAGAAUUUGGUCGCUGAAUAGGGAAAAGAGCUACUGUCCAAAAGAAUACUGUAGUUAGUAGAAUCAAAGGCAGUUCAGAAAUGGAGAAUGGGUUACUUUACAAUAUAUUCUAGUUAUAUUACUAUUCUUCUUUCUUUUUUUGUAAUUCCCAUUAAUCCAUUGUAGCCAGGUCAGUAGUGGGCGCUGCUGAGGGUAUCAGUAUAGGGUGUAAGUUCCCUUUAAAUAUGUCACUUCCUGUUGGUUGGAAUGGCUGCAGUGUUUGAAUUGUUUGGCAUGGUUGGUCGCUGGAAGAACAAGCUCUGGUCACCGUAGCCACCAGAUCCAGUCUGUGUUCAGAUCAGAGGGUCACUGCAGUCACCCGGAUCCAGUACGUAUCCAGACCAGAUGGUGGAUCAGCACCUAGAAAGGACCUCUACAUCCCUGAAAGACAGCGGAGACCAGGACAACUAGAGCCCAGAUACAGAUCCCCUGUAAAGACCUUGUCUCAGAGGAGCACCAGGACAAGACCACAGGAAACAGAUGAUUCUUCUGCUCAAUCUGACUUUGCUGCAGCCUGGAAUUGAACUACUGGUUUCGUCUGGUCAGAGGAGAACUGACCCCAACUGAGCCUGGUUUCUCCCAAGGUUUUUUUCUCCAUUCUGUCACCGAUGGAGUUUCGGUUCCUUGCCGCUGUCGCCUCUGGCUUGCUUAGUUGGGGUCACUUUAUCUACAGCGAUAUCAUUGACUUGAUUGCAAAUAAAUGCACAGACACUAUUUAAACUGAACAGAGAUGACAUCACUGAAUUCAAUGAUGAACUGCCUUUAACUAUCAUUUUGCAUUAUUGACACACUGUUUUCCAAAUGAAUGUUGUUCAGUUGCUUUGACGCAAUGUAUUUUGUUUAAAGAGCUAUAUAAAUAAAGGUGAUUGACUGAUUGAUAAAGUGAUUACAUUUUUUCAGAAAUAUU